RNAcentral lists this ribosomal RNA (497 nucleotides) under uncultured bacterium. RNAcentral's name for it is "partial 16S ribosomal RNA". It matches the Rfam family "Bacterial small subunit ribosomal RNA", at positions 28 to 507 of the family's 1533-position model. The record is from RNAcentral.
GAUGAACGCUGGCGGCGUGCCUAAUACAUGCCAGUCGAGCGAACAGACGAGGAGCUUGCUCCUCUGACGUUAGCGGCGGACGGGUGAGUAACACGUGGAUAACCUACCUAUAAGACUGGGAUAACUUCGGGAAACCGGAGCUAAUACCGGAUAACAUGUUGAACCGCAUGGUUCAACAGUGAAGGACGGUCUUGCUGUCACUUAUAGAUGGAUCCGCGCCGCAUUAGCUAGUUGGUAAGGUAACGGCUUACCAAGGCAACGAUGCGUAGCCGACCUGAGAGGGUGAUCGGCCACACUGGAACUGAGACACGGUCCAGACUCCUACGGGAGGCAGCAGUAGGGAAUCUUCCGCAAUGGGCGAAAUCCUGACGGAGCAACGCCGCGUGAGUGAAGAAGGUCUUCGGAUCGUAAAACUCUGUUAUUAGGGAAGAACAAAUGUGUAAGUAACUAUGCACGUCUUGACGGUACCUAAUCAGAAAGCCACGGCUAACUACGUG